Molecule: ribosomal RNA, 207 nt
Filed under: uncultured bacterium
Lineage: Bacteria
Description: partial 16S ribosomal RNA
Rfam family: Bacterial small subunit ribosomal RNA
Source: RNAcentral
CGUGUAGGCGGAUCGAGAAGUCGGGUGUGAAAGCCCUGGGCUCAACCCAGGAAGUGCGCCCGAAACCAUCGGUCUUGAGUUUCGGAGGGGAGCGGGGAAUUCCCAGUGUAGAGGUGAAAUUCGUAGAUAUUGGGAGGAACACCGGUGCCGAAGGGGCCGCUCUGGACGAAUACUGACGCUGAGACGCGAAAGCGUGGGUAGCAAACA